Molecule: long non-coding RNA, 202 nt
Filed under: Capsicum annuum
Lineage: Eukaryota; Viridiplantae; Streptophyta; Magnoliopsida; Solanales; Solanaceae
Description: long non-coding RNA (CANN_LNC021967)
Source: RNAcentral
UCAAUCUCAUUUUGGCUCGCCUUGAAACUAUGUCCCGAGAUGUGGCUAGGUUGAAUGUGGGUCUUGAGAAAUUAGAUACGGAUGUGGCAUCAAUGAGUGGGAUAUUAGAACGUGUGGAAAGCCAAAAGAGUCGACCUUCUACCCCUCAAAACAUUUCCCCAACUAAUACUCCCGAGACCUUGCACCAAAUGCAAUAUACACC